Long non-coding RNA from Etheostoma cragini (Arkansas darter), 288 nucleotides. RefSeq lists it as uncharacterized. The transcript is spliced from 3 exons. NCBI's taxonomy places the organism in Eukaryota, Metazoa, Chordata, Actinopteri, Perciformes, Percidae. The record is from RefSeq and is a predicted model, not a curated record.
GUGUGUGUGUGUGUGUGCGCAGGUCACUGGGGGGGUCAAGGAGGUCCGGCGAACCCCAAUCUCUGUCCCAGAGUACCUGCAGCUCAGUCUGGAGGAGGCCUUCUUCCUGGUCUACAGUCUGGGCUGCCUGUCGGUCUACCUGAACCAGGAGCCCCUGUCAGUCAUCCAGCUGUGGAGGAAGUUCCGGUCCCUGCGGCCCGACUUCAUCAGCUCGUUCUCAGCCUAUCAGCACUAUCGGAGCAGGGGCUGGGUCCCUAAAGGGGGCGGGGCCAAGUAUGGGGUUGACCU